RNAcentral lists this ribosomal RNA (421 nucleotides) under uncultured bacterium. RNAcentral describes it as "bacterial SSU rRNA". It matches the Rfam family "Bacterial small subunit ribosomal RNA", at positions 32 to 436 of the family's 1533-position model. The record is from RNAcentral.
AAUCAACGCUGGCGGCGUGCCUAACACAUGCAAGUCGAACGCGAAAGGGGAGCAAUCCCUGAUCGAGUGGCAAACGGGUGAGUAACACGUGGGUGACCUACCUUCGAGUGGGGGAUAACGUCCCGAAAGGGACGCUAAUACCGCAUGACAUCCUGCUUUUGGAAAAGCGGACAUUAAAGCUGGGGAUCGCAAGACCUGGCGCUUGAAGAGGGGCCCGCGCCUGAUUAGCUAGUUGGUGAGGUAACGGCUCACCAAGGCUACGAUCAGUAUCCGGCCUGAGAGGGCGGACGGACACACUGGGACUGAAACACGGCCCAGACUCCUACGGGAGGCAGCAGUGGGGAAUUGUUCGCAAUGGGCGAAAGCCUGACGACGCAACGCCGCGUGGGAGGACGAAGAUCUUCGGGUCGUAAACUCCUGU